UCGAUUCCCUUAGUAGCGGCGAGCGAAACGGGAAGAGCCCAAACCAACAAGCUUGCUUGUUGGGGUUGUAGGACACUCUAUACGGAGUUACAAAGGACGACAUUAGACGAAUCAUCUGGAAAGAUGAAUCAAAGAAGGUAAUAAUCCUGUAGUCGAAAAUGUUGUCUCUCUUGAGUGGAUCCUGAGUACGACGGAGCACGUGAAAUUCCGUCGGAAUCUGGGAGGACCAUCUCCUAAGGCUAAAUACUCUCUAGUGACCGAUAGUGAACCAGUACCGUGAGGGAAAGGUGAAAAGCACCCCGGAAGGGGAGUGAAAUAGAACCUGAAACCGUGUGCUUACAAGUAGUCAGAGCCCGUUAAUGGGUGAUGGCGUGCCUUUUGUAGAAUGAACCGGCGAGUUACGAUUUGAUGCAAGGUUAAGCAGUAAAUGUGGAGCCGUAGCGAAAGCGAGUCUGAAUAGGGCGUUUAGUAUUUGGUCGUAGACCCGAAACCAGGUGAUCUACCCUUGGUCAGGUUGAAGUUCAGGUAACACUGAAUGGAGGACCGAACCGACUUACGUUGAAAAGUGAGCGGAUGAACUGAGGGUAGCGGAGAAAUUCCAAUCGAACCUGGAGAUAGCUGGUUCUCUCCGAAAUAGCUUUAGGGCUAGCCUCAAGUGAUGAUUAUUGGAGGUAGAGCACUGUUUGGACGAGGGGCCCCUCUCGGGUUACCGAAUUCAGACAAACUCCGAAUGCCAAUUAAUUUAACUUGGGAGUCAGAACAUGGGUGAUAAGGUCCGUGUUCGAAAGGGAAACAGCCCAGACCACCAGCUAAGGUCCCAAAAUAUAUGUUAAGUGGAAAAGGAUGUGGCGUUGCCCAGACAACUAGGAUGUUGGCUUAGAAGCAGCCAUCAUUUAAAGAGUGCGUAAUAGCUCACUAGUCGAGUGACACUGCGCCGAAAAUGUACCGGGGCUAAACAUAUUACCGAAGCUGUGGAUUGUCCUUUGGACAAUGGUAGGAGAGCGUUCUAAGGGCGUUGAAGCAUGAUCGUAAGGACAUGUGGAGCGCUUAGAAGUGAGAAUGCCGGUGUGAGUAGCGAAAGACGGGUGAGAAUCCCGUCCACCGAUUGACUAAGGUUUCCAGAGGAAGGCUCGUCCGCUCUGGGUUAGUCGGGUCCUAAGCUGAGGCCGACAGGCGUAGGCGAUGGAUAACAGGUUGAUAUUCCUGUACCACCUAUAAUCGUUUUAAUCGAUGGGGGGACGCAGUAGGAUAGGCGAAGCGUGCGAUUGGAUUGCACGUCUAAGCAGUAAGGCUGAGUAUUAGGCAAAUCCGGUACUCGUUAAGGCUGAGCUGUGAUGGGGAGAAGACAUUGUGUCUUCGAGUCGUUGAUUUCACACUGCCGAGAAAAGCCUCUAGAUAGAAAAUAGGUGCCCGUACCGCAAACCGACACAGGUAGUCAAGAUGAGAAUUCUAAGGUGAGCGAGCGAACUCUCGUUAAGGAACUCGGCAAAAUGACCCCGUAACUUCGGGAGAAGGGGUGCUCUUUAGGGUUAACGCCCAGAAGAGCCGCAGUGAAUAGGCCCAAGCGACUGUUUAUCAAAAACACAGGUCUCUGCUAAACCGUAAGGUGAUGUAUAGGGGCUGACGCCUGCCCGGUGCUGGAAGGUUAAGAGGAGUGGUUAGCUUCUGCGAAGCUACGAAUCGAAGCCCCAGUAAACGGCGGCCGUAACUAUAACGGUCCUAAGGUAGCGAAAUUCCUUGUCGGGUAAGUUCCGACCCGCACGAAAGGCGUAACGAUUUGGGCACUGUCUCAACGAGAGACUCGGUGAAAUCAUAGUACCUGUGAAGAUGCAGGUUACCCGCGACAGGACGGAAAGACCCCGUGGAGCUUUACUGUAGCCUGAUAUUGAAAUUCGGCACAGCUUGUACAGGAUAGGUAGGAGCCUUUGAAACGUGAGCGCUAGCUUACGUGGAGGCGCUGGUGGGAUACUACCCUAGCUGUGUUGGCUUUCUAACCCGCACCACUUAUCGUGGUGGGAGACAGUGUCAGGCGGGCAGUUUGACUGGGGCGGUCGCCUCCUAAAAGGUAACGGAGGCGCUCAAAGGUUCCCUCAGAAUGGUUGGAAAUCAUUCAUAGAGUGUAAAGGCAUAAGGGAGCUUGACUGCGAGACCUACAAGUCGAGCAGGGUCGAAAGACGGACUUAGUGAUCCGGUGGUUCCGCAUGGAAGGGCCAUCGCUCAACGGAUAAAAGCUACCCCGGGGAUAACAGGCUUAUCUCCCCCAAGAGUUCACAUCGACGGGGAGGUUUGGCACCUCGAUGUCGGCUCAUCGCAUCCUGGGGCUGUAGUCGGUCCCAAGGGUUGGGCUGUUCGCCCAUUAAAGCGGUACGCGAGCUGGGUUCAGAACGUCGUGAGACAGUUCGGUCCCUAUCCGUCGUGGGCGUAGGAAAUUUGAGAGGAGCUGUCCUUAGUACGAGAGGACCGGGAUGGACAUACCUCUGGUGUACCAGUUGUCGUGCCAACGGCAUAGCUGGGUAGCUAUGUGUGGACGGGAUAAGUGCUGAAAG
This 2546-nucleotide ribosomal RNA is filed under the name Staphylococcus aureus. RNAcentral describes it as "partial 23S ribosomal RNA". It matches the Rfam family "Bacterial large subunit ribosomal RNA", at positions 231 to 2777 of the family's 2925-position model. Lineage: Bacteria; Bacillati; Bacillota; Bacilli; Caryophanales; Staphylococcaceae. The record is from RNAcentral.